UCUCUUCUCUUUUCUUCUUCUCUUAUCUUCUUCUACUAUUUUUCUAAUUCGAUUUUUGUUGAAAUCAACCCUUGAUUUUUGCUCUUUCUCCCCUCCCCCAAUUUCAAACCCUAACUAUAAUUUUCAAUCUGUCAUAUCUCAGCCCCUUCUUUGUUCAACCUCUCAAGUCUUGCCACCAUUUCAUUUUUUUGUCAAGCAUUUCAAUUUUUGAGUUCCGUCCAUUUUUUACUUGCAACUGUAGAUCUUCUUGUUAGACUAAAAUGCUACUUUCGUUGGAAAAAAUGAUACUUUUCUUUGGUUUUCUUGGGGUAAUUUAUGUAGAUGUGUGUUGCUUGUUGGGACUGAGUUGGAUUUUAGUGUUUAUAUAUAUAAAUAUAUAUAAAAAAGGAUUCCUAUUUUCAUAUAUCAGUUUUUGUUCGUAUAUCUCUAUAUCUACUUGUAUAUAGAAGAAUAAUUUUUCAAUUUCGUCUACUUUGGUUAGUGUUUUAAAUUGAAUAACUAUACCAUGUUGUUGGAUAAUCUUUGAGAAGCAAAUUUAAUUAAAUUAGUUUCACAAAUACAAAGAAUCAAUUAGAGUAGCAAAAUUCGUUUUGGAAGAUUUACGAUCAAUUUGGUUCACUCUAAGGGGAUCAAUUUGGUUCACUGUAAUGGUUUUCUAUUUUGGUGUAAUGAGAAGAAAUGUGGUAUGGAAAUACUAUGGUUGGUUAGUUCUAUUACAUUUUCUUUUAUGAAUUUCUUAUUGCCUCCAAUCUUAACUAAAUUAACUAAAUGUAUUCACUCUUUGCUUAAUAUGCAUGAAAAGCUUCGGCAGACUCGUGAAUUAUAUGCCGCCUUUAAUGCAAUGUUAGAGAUAAAAGACUUGAUACUAAAGAAAACUUCUUUGUUAAACUCUAUAAAUUCACAAGUAUAGGCAAAGUAGAAUAGAAUAGCAUUAACUUGCCAUAUUAUUUUUUCCUCGUGUUUAUGCUUGUGAAUCUUGGAUUUGGGUCUUGUCAGUUACAACUAUUUACUUUUAUUUCCGUAUUUUACUUCCUUGUCUUGCUUUCUUUGUUGAUUUACUAACCUUAGAUGCAUUGUUCCUUUUGAUUUAAAUUUUCUUGACUUGUUUUUUAUAUUUGUUUUUGGUCGGCAAUUUCAGGGCAUUGAUGUAUUUUGCACAUUAUGAUGAUCCCAUUUCUAACGUAUUUUUAAUUAUUCUUUUAGUCAACCAAGUAUGGGAAUUGACAUUUUGAUGGAGUGACAUUUUGUUCCACUUCAUUCCAGUGAUCAGUGUACCAAACACUACCUUAAUUCUUCAAUAUUUCCUUGUGAAAAUCUACAGAAAUUGAAUGCAUCUUCAAUAAUCUUCAACCAAAUUUUGAGGAAUUGUGUGAUCUUAUCAAAAUUAGGGUGGCCAUUAGGGUGAAGUCUUAUUUAAAAGGGUAUUUUUAUUCAGCUACAGAGAUGGUGCAUAAUUUGUAGUAGGUAAGGAGGAGCAUUGGAUCUUCAAUCAGGCUGUAGAAGUUUUCUCAGAUGGAAUGAGCUAGCUAGAGUAUGAUAUGGUUUUGUGAUUUACAUCAGAUGUUAAAAUCAAGAGCAUUUCGGUUGUUGGUGGUAUUGAUGGAACAAGUCCUUCCAAUAUGAGGGCGUUUCACACCAAGACUCAUCUCCGCUUCAAUGACUUCCCGAGGUCUAAGAACAGUUAGAGUUAUUGGAAGAUACAUUGUGUGGCACUUGACUCACGUAUAUGUUACAAUCUUAUUUUUGUAUUUAUUUAUUUAUUGAAAUAAACAUCAAAUGUUUUACAUUUACUAUAAGCUUGAAAUUAAUUAUAUUGUAAAUGAUGAUGAUGAUGAUGAUGAUGAUUAUUAUUAUUAUUAUUAUUUGCAUAUACAAUCCUUUUGAGUACGUGAUGAUAUCUUCGCAUAUCAAUAUUGAAGCUUACAAUCUUAUUUAUUUAUUGUUUAUUUAUUGAAAUAAAUAUCAAAAGUUUUACAUUUUCUGUAAGCUUGAAAUUAAUUAUAUUGUAAAUGAUUUAUUUUAUUUUAUUUUAUUUUUUGGGUUUCCUUUUGCAGAUGCAACCCUUUUGAAUACGUGAUAAUAUCUUCGCAUAUCGAUAUUGGAACUUACAAUCUUAUUUAUUUAUUUAUUUAUUUAUUUACUGAAAUAAAUAUUAAAUGUUUUACAUUUUCUAUAAGCUUGAAAUUAAUUAUAUUAUAAAUGUUUUUUUUUUUUGUUUCUUU
Molecule: non-coding RNA, 2222 nt
Organism: Camellia sinensis
Lineage: Eukaryota; Viridiplantae; Streptophyta; Magnoliopsida; Ericales; Theaceae
Source: RefSeq, a predicted model, not a curated record